Molecule: small RNA, 1953 nt
Filed under: Rattus norvegicus (Norway rat)
Lineage: Eukaryota; Metazoa; Chordata; Mammalia; Rodentia; Muridae
Description: uncharacterized LOC102553820
Source: RNAcentral
GUCUACUUUCUUUUCCCAAUAGGUCUUGGUGGUGGUGGUGGUGGGGUGUACGGUGGAAGAGAAAGACUGGGUAGCACCGAGUCAGCAGGAGCACGAUUUCCAUUCUCCUAGGAACACACACACACACACACACACACACACACACACACACACACACACACACACACACGCUCCUCGCGCGCGCGCGGACCAACGUCAUUUAAACCUAGAACCAGAGCCAAAGCUAGACUAAUAUCUCCCAUGGACGCCUUCUUUUGCACUAUAGUUAGAAUUACAGCGCACAGGUGUCCGGUGCGGAUACUUUUGUUGUCAAAUAAAGACCCUUGCCUUCCCCCCUUCACCCAGUAACAAAGAUCCCUUAAGCUCCAGAUCCAAUUUUAUCCCAAUCUUUCUCAAAAGACUCCGGGAGAGGCAGACUCAACCUACGCCCUGGCUUUUGAGCAACUCCAGUAGCAGAGUUUCCUUAUCUAACAGCUCAGCGCUCUGAACUGCAAACAAAACUCUGGAAGCGUGUGUCACACUGACACUCGGGUGCGCACAAAGCUUUUGGAUCAGAAAACCUGGAGCUUUCGUACGCAGACCUUCGCCUUGUGCGAGGCUGCAGGAAGGCAAGACCCAGGGCCAAUGCACCCGCGGCGGGGAUCUGCCAGGAGACAGAACAUCGUGCCUCCAAGUCCCAAGGAGUUGGAUGAAUUGCCAGCAUUCGCGCCGCGCCUGCGAGCUGGUUAGCAGAGAUCUAAGCUCAAACUCCGGUCUGGGAGGAGAGACCAGCGAGCACUGCCUGGAGUGGGUCGCACGCCGGCACAGCACAGCGAAUCAAAAGUUAAUGCGGGAGUUCAAACCUCCAAGCCGCGGAAGAACUCAGCUGCUUUGAAAGGACUUAAGGCAGUGUGUGGAGGACGUCUCCCUUCUCCGUCGGUAAAGAGAGGUACAUCCACCCUGGGAUGGGAUUACCCCUCCCCUCCUCCUCCUCUUUCUGCUCUUCUUCUAGCCCCAGCAGCUGCUUGAUGGAGACCUCUUCUCCCCGCAUCUGAAUGGAACGUCUUUGCUCAGAGUCUACAGAAUGUCAAAACUGAGGCUCCUCAGAGCUACAGCUUUAAGAACCACUCCACACAAAGAGGCAGCUGGUUGCUUUAACGGAAACUGCCUUUAAGCUUCAAGAACUGAAGUCUUGGGGAAUACAUUUAUAAGGAGCAGAGAAAAAUGCAUUUCCAAGCUGUAUGUUCUUGGGAAAUACAAAAUAAAAUUUACCUGAAAAAAUGAGAAUUAACCUUAAUUAUGUAGCUGUUGAUUAAAGACGCCCCCAUUUAGAAUUUUAUGUUCCAUCUAUAAAUGCAUUUUGCAAAUUGCUGAUUGCUUAUCUGUACCCAUAUCAAAGGAAAAACAAAACAAAACAAAACAAAGGUGAAGCAUUAGAUUUCUGAAAGUUGAAGCACCUUAACUCAUCCACUUGGCAAGUUAAUUUGUUGUUUGCUUGUGUGCACACAAUUUUGUUUAUUUUUAACUCCCAAGUAGUCCAUUGCAAUGCACGUUCAGUGGCAUUUGACAUUGACGUUGUUUGAAUCCAUGGGUAUUCAUUUCUUUUCCCUUCUUCAAGCUACAGAUCUCAUCAUUAAAAAUGCCCCACUCUUUGUAGUCCCAAAGUGAAUAUUUUAUAAACAGGUUCGAAGACUUCUAACAUCAUAUCACCCAGGCAGUGUAAGCUGUUUCCUGGAUUACUUAGAGUAAAUUGUCAAAGGAAAGCCUGCUAAAUUUUGAGUGUUGAAUGUGAGGCCAGAAGAACGUAUAAAAUAUAAAGGAGACAUUUCAGGGACAAGCUAGACAGACCCUGUGUGGAGGAGUUAAAAUCUCAGGAACAGAACAUGAAGGGCUUGUGCCUUUUUAGUUCACUUCCUUGAAAUUCCGUUGUCAAAGUACCAAAGGUUAAAUAAAUUUCUAACAAUGAAACCUGAA